CGCGUUCUCACAUCUUCUACUUUCGGCUUCACGUCCUCUCAUCAUCAAUGGUGUUCUUCGAGUUCAACAUUCGGCUUCACAUUGUCCAUGCGAUGCGAUUCCAAAUCCCAUACGGGAUGAAUAAAAGUUAGUUACUUUGAAUGAAUUGGAUGUUGCUUCACAUGAGCUUUGGAAUUGCAAAUGGCUCAUGGCUUGCUAAUGGGGGCUGUUUUGCUUUGGGUUUGAAUGCAUUGGUGGCUAUGUUGUAAUGUUAUGUAGAAUGUUGUAAAAGUUUAUGUUUGUAAUGAAUGGUAUAUCAUGGCUUUGUGGUUUAUGUAAUUUGAAUGCAAAUAUAUUUUGGAAUUGGAAUGAAAUAGGAAUUGUAACAUGAUGAACUUGUAUGAAAGUGUCAUUUUGAAUCAAAUGGUUGUAUUGAAAUGUAA
Lathyrus oleraceus (garden pea) is the source of this 422-nucleotide long non-coding RNA. RefSeq lists it as uncharacterized. The transcript has 2 exons. The record is from RefSeq and is a predicted model, not a curated record. NCBI's taxonomy places the organism in Eukaryota, Viridiplantae, Streptophyta, Magnoliopsida, Fabales, Fabaceae.